AAGCUCGUAGUUGAAUUUCGGGGUUCUACCGUUGGUCGGGCUAACAAGUCUGUACUAGCGUGUAGAAUCUCUACCUUCUGGGGAACCAUCAUGUUAUUAAUUUAGCGUGGUGGGAAACCAGGACCUUCACCUUGAAAAAAUUAGAGUGUUCAAAGCAGGCUUACGUCUGAAUACAUUAGCAUGGAAUAAUAAAAUAGGACGGUGGUCCUGUUUUGUUGGUUUCUGAAUCACCGUAAUGAUUAAUAGGGAUAGUUGGG
Molecule: ribosomal RNA, 257 nt
Filed under: uncultured Scutellospora
Lineage: Eukaryota; Fungi; Glomeromycota; Glomeromycetes; Diversisporales; Gigasporaceae
Description: partial 18S ribosomal RNA
Rfam family: Eukaryotic small subunit ribosomal RNA
Source: RNAcentral